This 90-nucleotide small RNA is filed under the name Marmota monax (woodchuck). The record is from RNAcentral. Lineage: Eukaryota; Metazoa; Chordata; Mammalia; Rodentia; Sciuridae.
GCUGGGCACGGUGGCACAUGCCUGUAAUCCCAGCAGCUCAGGAGGCUGAGGCAGGAGGAUUACCUCAGCAACAGCAAGACCCAGUCUCUA